RNAcentral lists this ribosomal RNA (253 nucleotides) under uncultured bacterium. RNAcentral describes it as "partial 16S ribosomal RNA". It matches the Rfam family "Bacterial small subunit ribosomal RNA", at positions 524 to 776 of the family's 1533-position model. The record is from RNAcentral.
UACAGAGGUCCCAAGCGUUGUUCGGAUUUACUGGGCGUAAAGGGUGCGUAGGUGGCGGGGUAAGUUUGAUGUGAAAUCUCCGAGCUUAACUCGGAAAUGGCAUUGAAUACUAUCUUGCUUGAGGGUUAGAGGGGAGACUGGAAUUCUCGGUGUAGCAGUGAAAUGCGUAGAUAUCGAGAGGAACACCAGUGGCGAAGGCGAGUCUCUGGACAACUCCUGACACUGAGGCACGAAGGCCAGGGGAGCAAACGGG